RNAcentral lists this ribosomal RNA (400 nucleotides) under uncultured bacterium. RNAcentral describes it as "bacterial SSU rRNA". It matches the Rfam family "Bacterial small subunit ribosomal RNA", at positions 28 to 403 of the family's 1533-position model. The record is from RNAcentral.
GACGAACGCUGGCGGCGUGCCUAAUUACAUGCAAGUCGAACGCUUCUUUUUCCAUCGGAGCUUGCUCCACCGGAAAAGAGGAGUGGCGAAACGGGUGAGUAACACGUGGGUAACCGUGCCCAUCAGAAGGGGAGUAACACUUGGAACAGGUGCUAAUACCGUAUAACAAUCGAAACCGCAUGGUUUCGAUUUGAAAGGCGCUUUCGGGUGUCGCUGAUGGAUGGACCCGCGGUGCAUUAGCUAGUUGGUGAGGUAACGGCUCACCAAGGCGACGAUGCAUAGCCGACCUGAGAGGGUGAUCGGCCACAUUGGGACUGAGACACGGCCCAAACUCCUACGGGAGGCAGCAGUAGGGAAUCUUCGGCAAUGGACGAAAAGUCUGACCGAGCAACGCCGCGUG